Molecule: ribosomal RNA, 494 nt
Filed under: uncultured bacterium
Lineage: Bacteria
Description: partial 16S ribosomal RNA
Rfam family: Bacterial small subunit ribosomal RNA
Source: RNAcentral
GACGAACGCUGGCGGCGUGCUUAACACAUGCAAGUCGAACGGAAAGGCCUGCUUUCCCUUGUGGAUUGCGGGUACUCGAGUGGCGAACGGGUGAGUAACACGUGAGUGAUCUGCCCCCAACUUGGGUAUAAGCCUGGGAAACUGGGUCUAAUUCCCGAUAGGACUGCAGGGUGGUGCUUGUGGUGGAAAACGAUUUUCUAGUGGUUGGGGAUGAGCUCGCGGCCUAUCAGCUUGUUGGUGGGGUAAUGGCCUACGAAGGCGGCGACGGGUAGCCGGCCUGAGAGGGGGGACGGCCACAUUGGGACGGAGAUACGGCCCAGACGCCUACGGGAGGCAGCAGUGGGGAAUAUAGCACAAUGGGCGGAAGCCUGAUGCAGCGAGGCCGCGAGGGGGAUGACGGCCUUCGGGUGGUAAACUCCUUGCGACCGCGAGGAAGCCACCUGGUUGGAAGGGUGGUGACGGUAGUGGUAGAAGAAGCACCGGCUAACUACGUG